GUCCUGGCUCAGGAUGAACGCUAGCGACAGGCUUAACACAUGCAAGUCGAGGGGCAGCGGGGUGUAGCAAUACACCGCCGGCGACCGGCGCACGGGUGAGUAACGCGUAUCCAACCUGCCCAUCACUUGGGAAUAACCUUGCGAAAGUAAGACUAAUGCCCAAUGAUAUCCCACGAAGGCAUCCGAAUGGGAUUAAAGAUUUAUCGGUGAUGGAUGGGGAUGCGUCUGAUUAG
Molecule: ribosomal RNA, 233 nt
Filed under: uncultured bacterium
Lineage: Bacteria
Description: partial 16S ribosomal RNA
Rfam family: Bacterial small subunit ribosomal RNA
Source: RNAcentral